This is a long non-coding RNA of Amphimedon queenslandica, 1208 nucleotides long. RefSeq lists it as uncharacterized. Lineage: Eukaryota; Metazoa; Porifera; Demospongiae; Haplosclerida; Niphatidae. The transcript is spliced from 5 exons. The record is from RefSeq and is a predicted model, not a curated record.
CAAUUAUUUCAUUUUAAUUAUUAGAUGUAACCUUCAAUAUGGCGGAUUGAAACAGAAAGAGAUCGUCUCUGAGAAUUGAGAUCAUGGACAUAAUGGACUUUCACAUACAGGGAACAGAGACUGCUGAUGAUGAAAACGAUGGAGUUACUAAUAGCAAAAUAGCAGAGGAGGAUUUUAGGAAGAGCUUUGCUGAGAAAUAUUGAAUUAUAUUAGAUACUUCCCCCCCCCAGUAUUGUCCGAGGGCAUCUUUAUUUUCUCUUAGAGUGUUAAUAGAAAAUGUGUUUCAUUUACCCGACACAUUCCCAGAGACUCAAAGUAUCUUGAGGUACGUUAUUCCACUCGUCAUCCUGCCCCUCCCCCACCUCCUCUGGUCUCUCGUACAGCUGUGUGUUUGGUACAAUACAAUAAGCUCUAUAUCCACUAACAGCUAGUGUGAAUCAAACGAUCUCUAAUAUCAGUGGGUGUAGCUUCUGAACAAGCUAGUGUAGUGCUCUGGUACAUAAACAUUUCUCAUUGAUGGAGCUUUGCCUACAAAAAUUGGAAUCGGAUAUCUGCUGUGAGUUUUGUUUGCUAUUUUUAGAACACUGUGUCCUGGACACCACCUGACAGACACAUACCUUGAAAGUUUAAAGAAAGGAUGGCAUUAGAAAAGGAGUUUAAGCUUGAGGUUAUAUUCCCCUGGAAUAGAAGUAUCAUAUCAUCCACUCAAGCAGUCCUUACAACCUGUGAACAAGUACAGGAUUGAGUUAAGUUGGUAUGACUCAUUAAAUUAAUGUGAGAACACUUUUUGUCAAUGUCAACUACUGUAAAACUACAAAUUUUAGCGUGCUACUUAUUUUAGCGAUAUUAGCGAAGAGCCUAAACAUGCUAAAUUUAAUAUUCGCUAAUAAAAACACCCGGUCACGUGAUCACAAAAUGUCGCUGAUACCAUAGAUACAGUAUCUAUGCGAUACUAUACUAGUAGAUGGCUCUCUUCUGCUCGGUUGGCAACACUACCAGAGGAAGGAGAACCCAGUGGAACGACAGCAGCAGCUAACAGAAAAGUGGGAAAGGUUUAAUGAUACGCCAAAUUUAAUAGUCGCUAAUUUGACAUUUAAGCAUAAACGCUAAAUAAAAUAGCCGCUAACAUUAAUAGGUUUACAGUAUUUUUUUAUUAUGUUCUGUUUCUCUACUUUAUUAUGAUUUUAAGCCCUUGCUAUUACACCCAA